CUCCGGUACUGCUUGCUUCGGGCGGAUAACCACGUUGUUUCCGUUGAACGUGAGCGCGAGUGAAAUGGAGGUCGGAGUCUUGUUUUUGUUCGGGAUCGGCACAAAUGAGGCAGAUCUGACCAGGGAGCUGGAUAAAAUGGAGCUGAAGAAGCCUAAUGCAGAGAUAUUGAUGGCUUUUAGCUUCUCACCACAUCAGUUCAGAUGUCUCCAUCAGCAGUCCCUCACUUUCCACAGAGAGGAGCGGCUGGUUGAAACAAGACUGCGAAACUCCAGAUGACACUACAUCUCAUCUGGACCAACAGAACUGGAAAGUCUGUGCUGCUGUCAGCCAUAGAGGUGAUGCAGAAAUGUGCCCAGAGAAGAUGGUCCUGCAGUGUGUCAGCGUCCGUCCACUUGGAGUGUUUGGAGCCAGAGAGAGGCGUGCGCCUGGCUGCAAAGAACUACAAGCACCCUCAAAAUACUACCAGCAGAUGGCACUGACUUUAAUUUGUGCCAUGUGGUACAGGAAGCUGCUCUACUUCAGAAGGGCCUGCAAAUCAGGAGUGCUCCAACCAGAGCUUUUUUCCUUAAACGAUUUCAUACAAACCGAGGAACCGCCUCUACCUGGAGCCCAGAUGCCAGAAGGAGCCGUUGGAUGUGGACAUGGAAGAAGGAUGAGGAAGGCCAUUUGUCUUUACAGGCUGACGGACAAGCGAUUACAGAAAACUGAUUUCUACUGAAGGUAUUUGAAAAAGGCUGAUUGCGUGGCCACUGCCUUGUACACCUGCGCUGGGCUGUACAGGAGCACAGGACUCACUGACCAGGCUAAUGGACUCACUGACCAGGCUAAUGUUCAUGCAUUAACACUGUUGUCAGUAAGAAAGUCAUUCCAUCUUUUGUCAAAAAACCCAAACUGUCCCUUUAAAGAUGACCUACAAGUCUGGUCGGUACAGAGAAAGCUUUGAUGAGCGCCGGCAACACAACACAUCUUAAUUAUUUUUAAUGUCCCUCGUGGUUUAAAUUGUUUUUUUUUGUUUUUUUAUCAAACCUUACACUUGUUCCUGCAGCUAAAGUAAUAUCACAAGGCUUGUCUUCAUUAUUGGCCUCCUUCACAUCAAUACUAUCAAGCGGAUUCAUCAUGGCUCAGACUGUUCGGAAGGACUACUUGGCAUUCUGUCCUAAACCAAGAUGAACCACAUCAGUUCAUGCUGAGUUGGCAGAGGUUUGUUCUGUCAGAACAGUCAGCUUCAGAGGUUUGUUCUGUCAGAACAGUCCCGGCUUCAGAGGUUUGUUCUGUCAGAAUAGUCCCGGCUUCAGAGGUUUGUUCUGUCAGAACAGUCCUGGCUUCAGAGGUUUGUUCUGUCAGAAUAGUCCUGGCUUCAGAGGUAUGUUCUGUCAGAACAGUCUCGGCUUCAGAGGUUUGUUCUGUCAGAAUAGUCCCGGCUUCAGAGGUUUGUUCUGUCAGAACAGUCUCGGCUUCAGAGGUUUGUUCUGUCAGAAUAGUCCUGGCUUCAGAGGUUUGUUCUGUCAGAAUAGUCCUGGCUUCAGAGGUUUGUUCUGUCAGAACAGUCCCGGCUUCAGAGGUUUGUUCUGUCAGAACAGUCCCGGCUUCAGAGGUUUGUUCUGUCAGAAUAGUCCUGGCUUCAGAGGUAUGUUCUGUCAGAACAGUCUCGGCUUCAGAGGUUUGUUCUGUCAGAACAGUCCCAGCUUCAGAAGCUCAGCAUGUUUGAGUAUUGCAUGGAACAUUUUGAAGUGGUAGAGAUAUGGAGUUAUGUCAUGACUCACAUGAAUCCAGAACAUCAGGCCAGUGUGUUUCAGCUUAUCUGUUUUAACAACCUGCAGCAGUGAUGAACUUUUUAUUAUGUUUGACAUGAUGGCUUUUUUUUUACUCCUGUCAUAACAAGAAUUAAA
Lampris incognitus (smalleye Pacific opah) is the source of this 1890-nucleotide long non-coding RNA. RefSeq lists it as uncharacterized. The transcript is spliced from 6 exons. The record is from RefSeq and is a predicted model, not a curated record. Lineage: Eukaryota; Metazoa; Chordata; Actinopteri; Lampriformes; Lampridae.